CGAGGACCCCCACCCCCCCUUCCCCGUCCCGUCUCAAGCGCCGGUAAACUUCGCCACGCCCCAAUCUCCAUUCGCCACAAACCCUAACCGCCCCUCUGUGUCGCGCCGCCGGCCGCCCCGCCACCCUCCUCGCCCUUCCAGGGCUCCGGCGAAGGCUGUAAUCCGCGGGGAGCGGCAGCGAUGGCAUCCACGGCAAAGGUCACCAUCACCCUCGGCCGCAGCGGUCAGGUUGUCAAAAGGCGAACUAUUUCUGAUAUGGGUAAUGAUGAUGAAGUGCCAGUAUCAGGAAGAAAGCGGCCUGUCCGAGAGAGGCUAGGAAAUAAUGUGGCUGAUUCUGAUUUGUAUGGAAGGCAGCAGAGUAAUAAAAGACGGCAAACAGAAAGCAGUAGCUCGCAGCUUGGAGAUGAUGGUUUGGCUCGCCAGAUUGGCAGGGAUGAUUUAAGGCUGAAGCUUAUGCGGAAAGGCUUGACACAGAAGAGCAACAGUGAGGCAGAACAGAAUGGAGUGGAUCUCCGUGAAAAGCUUUCCAGGAAGUCAAAGAAACUCCAGGGAUAUGAAGCAAGAAGGGGUGAUCCAGAAUCCAGGUCUAGUUAUGAUGAGGGAGAAAUCCCAGAAACAGGAUCUGGAUAUGGUUCGAGGGGGAGAGUCCCAGAGUCAAGAGCCUCUACUCUUGUAAGCCAAGUGCCUUCUUCAAGGAAUGCAGAUGGGUUGUUCAAGUUGGAGCCUUCAGGAAAACCUUAUCCCUCGUGGACCGAUGAUUGUUUGAGGUAUACGUCCCCAGACAAGCUUCCAAGUGUUCGAAGAGACAUGACUCCCCCAAGAAGUGUUCGAAGAGGCAUCUCUCCCCCGAGGGCCAUUCGGAGAGGCAUGUCUCCUCCGAUAAAUGCUCGAAGAGGCAUGUCUCCCCCGAGAGGUGCUCGAAGAGGCAUGUCUCCUCCAAGAAGUGCUCGAAGAGGCAUGUCUCCUCCAAGAAGUGUUCAAAGAGGCAUGUCUCCUCCAAGAAGUGUUCGAAGAGUCAUGUCUCCCCCAAGAACAUAUGAUCAUACAGGGUCCAUUCCAUCCCUUCGAUCUGUCGGUACCACAAGACCUUCUAGUCAUAUCACAAGAGAUGCUGCUGACACAUUAAGAACCCAUCAACCUUACGAAGACAGCUCUACCAUUGGGAUUGAUAGGGGACAACAAACUAAUGGAAUCACACAAUCUGGACGCCGGCCUACAUCCCCUAUGCUGAAAGAAGUACCGUCGACAGUUACUGGAUUACUGAAUUCAAUGGGACUUGAGAAGUAUGUUGUUCUCUUUCAGGCUGAGGAGGUGGAUAUGGCUGCAUUGAGUCAGAUGAAAGACAGCGACCUCAAAGAUAUGGGAGUACCAAUGGGCCCCAGGAAGAAGAUACUCCUUGCGACGGCACCUUAUGGAAAACAACGGCAAAGAUGAGCAGCAUGUGCUCUGGGACGUGGAACGAACAUUUGCUGGGAAAUGCAUUUUUAUUGGUGUAAGCAUGCUCUACUGCGGAUCUUGUAUAUCCUCACUGGUAGUCUGGCUUAGUUAACCUUUUUUGUUGCUGAUAGAUUAAUGUCGCCCUGUUCUUGGCUUGUGUAAAGUCAUGUCUGUCAGCUGAUGCUCCCAAAUCCUACCAUUCGGGAUGUGCUGCCCUGCUGUAUUUGUUAAGAGCAGCAGGGUUUGAAACAGAGUGGAUACAACAUGGUCUAGCACCAUCAUCAAUCUGGACUUUCUGUAUUUUUGGGAACAUGGUGAGAGAUACAACUAAUCCAAUCUAUUAUGUGUGCCAAAUGGCCAUCGAAUUCUACUAGUGUUUUGCAUGGAGGAAGUAGCGGAUUGUUUUUAAAGUUUG
RNAcentral lists this ribosomal RNA (1852 nucleotides) under Triticum aestivum (bread wheat). Its description in RNAcentral is "partial small subunit ribosomal RNA". The record is from RNAcentral. Lineage: Eukaryota; Viridiplantae; Streptophyta; Magnoliopsida; Poales; Poaceae.